AUUAAACGCUGGCGGCAUGCUUUACACAUGCAAGUCGAACGGUAACAGGCCUUCGGGUGCUGACGAGUGGCGAACGGGUGAGUAAUGCAUCGGAACGUACCCAGAGGUGGGGGAUAACGCAGCGAAAGCUGUGCUAAUACCGCAUGUGAUCUGAGGAUGAAAGCGGGGGACCGAGCAGCAAUGUUUGGCCUCGCGCCUUUGGAGCGGCCGAUGUCGGAUUAGCUAGUUGGUGGGGUAAAGGCCUACCAAGGCGACGAUCCGUAGCUGGUCUGAGAGGACGACCAGCCACACUGGGACUGAGACACGGCCCAGACUCCUACGGGAGGCAGCAGUGGGGAAUUUUGGACAAUGGGCGCAAGCCUGAUCCAGCAAUGCCGCGUGCGGGAAGAAGGCCUUCGGGUUGUAAACCGCUUUUGGCAGGAACGAAACGGUGUCCGCUAAUACCGGGCGCUAAUGACGGUACCUGCAGAAUAAGCACCGGCUAACUACGUG
RNAcentral lists this ribosomal RNA (492 nucleotides) under uncultured bacterium. RNAcentral describes it as "partial 16S ribosomal RNA". It matches the Rfam family "Bacterial small subunit ribosomal RNA", at positions 29 to 507 of the family's 1533-position model. The record is from RNAcentral.